This 253-nucleotide ribosomal RNA is filed under the name uncultured bacterium. RNAcentral's name for it is "partial 16S ribosomal RNA". It matches the Rfam family "Bacterial small subunit ribosomal RNA", at positions 524 to 776 of the family's 1533-position model. The record is from RNAcentral.
GACGAACCGUGCGAACGUUAUUCGGAAUCACUGGGCUUAAAGGGCGCGUAGGCGGGCUGCCAAGUCAGAGGUGAAAUCCUGCGGCUCAACCGCGGAAGUGCCCCUGAUACUGGUCGUCUCGAGGGGGGUAGGGGCAUGUGGAACUUCCGGUGGAGCGGUGAAAUGCGUAGAUAUCGGAAGGAACGCCGGUGGCGAAAGCGACGUGCUGGACCCCUUCUGACGCUGAGGCGCGAAAGCCAGGGGAGCAAACGGG